Molecule: long non-coding RNA, 448 nt
Filed under: Coffea arabica (coffee)
Lineage: Eukaryota; Viridiplantae; Streptophyta; Magnoliopsida; Gentianales; Rubiaceae
Description: long non-coding RNA (CARA_LNC007769)
Source: RNAcentral
UCACCACACUAGUCCAAUGCUAGUUGUGGCUCAUUAUUUCAUUAGGAAUUCAUAGAAAGGGCUAGUCCAACGCUAGACCCAAUAGGUCAUCCCCAUUCAUUAAUGCAUUAUUUGCCUGUUCACUACAUAUCAUGCAUUUUUCCUUAGUUUUAUCAUCUGGCAUGCUCCUCGAUUCCCCUUUCCCCUCACUUUAGGUCUUGCAUCUCAUGCUAGUUAGGGUACAUUUGCCUGAAGAGUCCCCUUAAAUAUGGGAUAUAGACGAGUGUGGCUUUUUCUAAGCCUUAGCACGCUUAUAUUCCCUCUAUCAAAGGAAAAAUCAAGUCACAAAGUUAAGAGUCCCCGUACCCGUUUUGCUUGCAUUCCCAUAGGAUUCAUGCAUUUCAUUCAUUCACUAUCACUUACUUUAUAUUCCAUUCCUCUUUCUACAUUCUCACUUCACACUACUUUC